RNAcentral lists this ribosomal RNA (253 nucleotides) under uncultured bacterium. Its description in RNAcentral is "partial 16S ribosomal RNA". It matches the Rfam family "Bacterial small subunit ribosomal RNA", at positions 524 to 776 of the family's 1533-position model. The record is from RNAcentral.
GACGUAGGAUGCGAGCGUUGUCCGGAUUUAUUGGGCGUAAAGAGUUCGUAGGCGGUUCGUUAAGUCUGAUGUUAAAGACUGGGGCCCAACCCUGGGAGUGCAUUGGAUACUGGCGGACUGGAGUGCAGUAGAGGCAAGCGGAAUUCCAGGUGUAGCGGUGAAAUGCGCAGAUAUCAGGAGGAACACCGAUUGCGAAGGCAGCUCGCUGGGACGUAACUGACGCUGAGACGCGAAAGCGUGGGGAGCAAACAGG